GAUCCGCACCGGUGGCCUAGAGGUUAUAACGUCUGCCUCAGAUGCGGUAGGUCGUGGGUUCGAUCCCCGGUUGAGUCA
Non-coding RNA from Potamilus streckersoni, 78 nucleotides. NCBI's taxonomy places the organism in Eukaryota, Metazoa, Mollusca, Bivalvia, Unionida, Unionidae. The record is from the annotation of a GenBank genome assembly.